UCUACCCGCUGAACGCAGAACAGCACACACUUCCUGUGCUCGCUCGGGACGGGUUGUCGAUAAACAGCGAGCACAUGCUGAGCACAAUUUUUGUCGUUUUGUCUCAUAACAAAAUGACAACAACUUUGAUUUAAAUACUAAUUUAGUUGCUUGACAUUUUGCAGUUGCCAUGUCUCUGCUAUUAAACGCUGCACAAUGAAAUACUUCACUACUCAGGGCAUUGAUGGAUUGUAUAACAGAGUUUACCACAGCCAUGUCAUGUGUGAUUUUGUCUGUCUCGUCAUUGCAUGCUGCUUAUCGGCUAUUCAAGGACCACAGAGCCUCAUCAGUGGGCUUCCUCCUGAUUGGCUUUUCCUCUGUCCUUUCAGUCUUUUCUCCCAGUAACCAAACUAUCAAAUCACUCACAAACGAUCUAGAAUGGGCAGGUGAAUCACUUGGUCCUGCUCUUAUUACUUUUGACUUCUUGUGGUUAAGUGAGGACCACGUCACUGCUCGUAUCCUCCUGAUUGGCUCUACUUUUUUCAUAAUGCUCUCUGAUUGGUUAUCAUCAGAUGGGUUGGUCAUUAUGUCACGCUGCCUGACAUUUUCCACCCUCUCCUGUUCGCUGACCGUGUGUGCGUUUGCUGAAAAUGCAGCAGGGGCAGUAGGGAGUGUUGCCCUCAGUCUGCCUUUAUUAGUUUCCCCAAGGACCAGAUCUGGGUCUUUGGGUUCCCUCGUGAUGCCUACAGAAGGACUUCUCAGAUGGAUCCUUAAAGUCAUCAUGGCAUUAGGAUGCUGGACCACUGGGAAGGCCCUUAAUAAAUACCUGUUUGAUUUAAAAGACUGGGACUGACUAAAGCAAUGGUUUCCAAAGACAACAGAGAACCACAAAAUGCUACUUUUGUACUCAGAUUAUUAUGAGGCUUACACUAAUACUAUACACUAACACUAUACUGUUGCAUGUAAAGGCCUUCUCUGUCUUAAUAAGCUAACAUUAUAUUGUAAUGUACUACAGAAACUGGAGUUUUUUUAAGUUUGUAAUCAAAUAAUGGAGUUUGCUUAUAACAUUAAAUCCAUUACAUUGACGGCUAGUAAAAUCCAUGAGCAAUGAAUAAAUUGUUUUAGCAUCUACAACAAUGAAGUCUUUGUAAAGAAAGAAUGGGACUCUUUUGUUUAAACCAGUGUUGCCAUGUUCUGUCAUUAUGAGCAACUUUGGUAAAUGUGCAUGAUACAUUUACUCAU
Molecule: long non-coding RNA, 1221 nt
Organism: Sinocyclocheilus grahami
Lineage: Eukaryota; Metazoa; Chordata; Actinopteri; Cypriniformes; Cyprinidae
Exons: 3
Source: RefSeq, a predicted model, not a curated record